ACGGUCGCAAUAGUCAGGCUGUCAUAAGCAGAGAGAAGAGGAAGAAAGCAAAUGAGUGUAACUGUAGUAGUAAGCUUGAGCUUUGAAUGAACCAGAUCUUAUUGGACCUCUUCUGUUGCUGAUGGUGUAGCGUUGCCAAGCUUGCCCACCAGCAUGUCUGUUUCGGUUAUUAUAAAGUGGGGUGGACAGGAGUACUCCAUUACCACACUGUCUGAGGAGGACACCGUGUUGGAUCUGAAACAGUCCAUUAAAUCUCUCAC
Long non-coding RNA from Sinocyclocheilus anshuiensis, 260 nucleotides. RefSeq lists it as uncharacterized. The record is from RefSeq and is a predicted model, not a curated record. Lineage: Eukaryota; Metazoa; Chordata; Actinopteri; Cypriniformes; Cyprinidae. The transcript is spliced from 3 exons.